UCAAACGAGGUUGCUUACUGAACUCAGUC
This 29-nucleotide non-coding RNA is filed under the name Bombyx mori (domestic silkworm). Lineage: Eukaryota; Metazoa; Arthropoda; Insecta; Lepidoptera; Bombycidae. The record is from RNAcentral.